Molecule: ribosomal RNA, 439 nt
Filed under: uncultured bacterium
Lineage: Bacteria
Description: partial 16S ribosomal RNA
Rfam family: Bacterial small subunit ribosomal RNA
Source: RNAcentral
CUACGGGUUGCUCCAGUGAGGAAUAUUGCACAAUGGGGGGAACCCUGAUGCAGCAACGCCGCGUGGAGGAUGACGCAUUUCGGUGUGUAAACUCCUUUUAUAUGUCAAGAAAAUGACGGUAGCAUAUGAAUAAGCACCGGCUAACUCCGUGCCAGCAGCCGCGGUAAUACGGAGGGUGCAAGCGUUACUCGGAAUCACUGGGCGUAAAGGACGCGUAGGCGGGUUGGAAAGUCAGGUGUGAAAUCCUACAGCUUAACUGUAGAACUGCACUUGAAACUUCUAAUCUAGAGUAUGGGAGGGGGAGAUGGAAUUAGUGGUAUAGGGGUAACAUCCGUAGAUAUCACUAGGAAUACCUAAAGCGAAGGCGAUCUCCUGGAACAUUACUGACGCUAAGGCGUGAAAGCGUGGGGAGCAAACAGGAUUAGAUACCCGCGUAGUC